GCGUCAGUGGUGGAACGGUAGACACGCCAGCUUGAGGGGCUGGUGGGCAUUAGCCCGUGGAGGUUCAAAUCCUCUCUGACGCACCA
Molecule: transfer RNA, 86 nt
Filed under: Sulfurovum sp.
Lineage: Bacteria; Pseudomonadati; Campylobacterota; Epsilonproteobacteria; Campylobacterales; Sulfurovaceae
Description: tRNA-Leu
Rfam family: tRNA
About the family: Transfer RNA (tRNA) molecules are approximately 80 nucleotides in length. Their secondary structure includes four short double-helical elements and three loops (D, anti-codon, and T loops).
Source: RNAcentral